UUGGAGGGCAAGUCUGGUGCCAGCAGCCGCGGUAAUUCCAGCUCCAAUAGCGUAUAUUAAAGUUGUUGCAGUUAAAAAGCUCGUAGUUGAAUUUCGGGAUCAAUUUAUUGGUCGUGCAAUAGUACGUACUGAUUUUAUUGAUUCCUCUCUUCUGAAGAACUAUGAUGUCAUUAAUUUGGUGUCAUAGGGAAGCAGGACUGUUACUUUGAAAAAAUUAGAGUGUUUAAAGCAGGCUCACGCUUGAAUACAUUAGCAUGGAAUAACGAAAUAGGACGUUUGAUUCUAUUUUGUUGGUUUCUAGGAUCGGCGUAAUGAUUAAUAGGGAUAGUUGGGGGCAUUAGUAUUCAAUUGUCAGAGGUGAAAUUCUUGGAUUUAUUGAAGACUAACUACUGCGAAAGCAUUUGCCAAGGAUGUUUUCAUUAAUCAAGAACGAAAGUUAGGGGAUCGAAGACGAUCAGAUACCGUCGUAGUCUUAACCAUAAACUAUGCCGACUAGGGAUCGGAUGAUGUUAAAUUAAUGACUCAUUCGGCGCCUUACGGGAAAC
This 545-nucleotide ribosomal RNA is filed under the name uncultured Glomus. RNAcentral describes it as "SSU rRNA". It matches the Rfam family "Eukaryotic small subunit ribosomal RNA", at positions 548 to 1098 of the family's 1831-position model. Lineage: Eukaryota; Fungi; Glomeromycota; Glomeromycetes; Glomerales; Glomeraceae. The record is from RNAcentral.